Molecule: non-coding RNA, 460 nt
Organism: Chrysemys picta bellii (western painted turtle)
Lineage: Eukaryota; Metazoa; Chordata; Testudines; Emydidae
Source: RefSeq, a predicted model, not a curated record
CUACAUAGCAGGCAGAUGCCUGCAGACACUGGGCAUAAGAAAGCUCAUGCAGUGUGCAGUCCCUGACUUAGUAAGGAGCAGACACCAGUAGGAGAAGGCAGCCAAAUCCUCUGAGCCUAAGGAGUAAGUGGGGCCAGUGGAGGGAAAUAAAUUGCAACCCAGCACCAGGAAGAGAGCUGGCAACUCCUGAUAAGGAGGUGGAUAAUAAUUGUUUGAAUUACCUGCCACCAGGAGGAGAGCUGGGCCUACGGCCAUAUGGAGAAGAUACACAGAAAGAAAUUGCCACCCUGCUCCAGGAAGCAAGAUAGCAGAAGAUAAGCAGACUCCAAGGAAAGUAGGAUUCAAGCUGACAGGAUGCAGGAUCAGGACCUUCAGAGACUCAGGAACCACACAGGUGAACAGCUGCAAAUAUUUCUCUCUAGCAGAGGCUAGUGAAGAUUAGGAGAAAACGGCAGACACA